Molecule: ribosomal RNA, 253 nt
Filed under: uncultured bacterium
Lineage: Bacteria
Description: partial 16S ribosomal RNA
Rfam family: Bacterial small subunit ribosomal RNA
Source: RNAcentral
UACAGAGGGGGCAAGCGUUGUUCGGAAUUACUGGGCGUAAAGGGCGCGUAGGCGGCCUGCUAAGUCGAACGUGAAAUCCCUGGGCUCAACCCAGGAACUGCGUCCGAUACUGGUUGGCUUGAAUCCGGGAGAGGGAUGUGGAAUUCCAGGUGUAGCGGUGAAAUGCGUAGAUAUCAUUUGGAACGCCAAUGGUGAAAACAGGUUGCUGGGAGUGUGCUGACGCUGAGACACGAAAGCCAGGGGAGCGAACGGG